RNAcentral lists this ribosomal RNA (985 nucleotides) under Lissotes rudis. Its description in RNAcentral is "partial 16S ribosomal RNA". The stretch from base 402 to 985 matches the Rfam family "Archaeal large subunit ribosomal RNA", at positions 1423 to 2666 of the family's 2987-position model. Lineage: Eukaryota; Metazoa; Arthropoda; Insecta; Coleoptera; Lucanidae. The record is from RNAcentral.
UAAAUUUAACUUUAUUAAUAAAGUUUCUCGAAUUUUAGAGAGCUAAAAAUUUAUAUAUUUUAAUGUAAAAUAAUUAUUUAUAAUAUUUUUUUUGUAAUUAUAUGUUAGUCGUUCUAAAUUAUAUCUAGUUUUUUCAGAAAUGAAUUUAAUUCAAUCAAUAGAAGGAUAUUUUUUUUAUAAAAUCUUUUUUUUUUAUUGGGUAAUAACUAAGGGGAUAAGCUUUUAGUUAUAUUUUUAUAAUGAAUUAGUUAUUUUAAUUUGUAGGAUUAGAAGUGUUCAUUAAUUUUAGUGUGUUAUAACAAUUUAAUUAUUAAUUUGAUUUUCUAUAAUUUAAAUUUUUUAUGAGAGUAGGAGAUCAAACUUUUUUAUUUCCAAAUUUAUGAUAAAAUUAGUAUAAUUUUAUGUGUUAAUAUAUUUGAAAAUUAAGGUUAAAUAAAGGAACUCGGCAAAUUACUCCUUGCCUGUUUAAUAAAAACAUGUCUUUUUGUGAUAAUUUAAAGUCUGGCCUGCCCAAUGAGUAUUUAAAUGGCCGCGGUAUUUUGACCGUGCAAAGGUAGCAUAAUCAUUAGUUUUUUAAUUGAAAGCUGGAAUGAAUGGUCGGACAAGGGAGUUACUGUCUCUGUUUAAUUUUAUUAGAAUUUUAUAUUUAAGUUAAAAAGCUUAAAUGAAUUUAAGGGACGAGAAGACCCUAUAGAAUUUAAUAAUUAGCAUUGAUAUAAAUUUGUGGGGUUUUUUAUUUAUAUUUUAAUUAAUUAUUUUGUUGGGGUGACAGGAAAAUUUAUUAAACUUUUCUUUUUUAAAAUCAUUAAUUUAUGUUUAAUUGAUCCAAGUUUUUUGAUUAUAAGAUACAAUUACCUUAGGGAUAACAGCGUAAUUAGUUUGGAGAGUUCUUAUCGAUAAAUUAGUUUGCGACCUCGAUGUUGGAUUAAAAUUUACUUUUGGUGUAGAAGCUAAUAGGUUAAGUCUGUUCGACUUUUAAAAUUUU